UGUGUCUUUCUGCAUCUAUACAAGAUUAAAAGUUUUAAGCUUUAAGAGUUACGAGAACUGUGUUGAGAAUAUUGAAGAUUUUAUUUUAUAUUACUUGAUUCUGGGAAGGCUCAGCACCCAUUGCACUUUAUAUUGAUUUCUUCCUUUCUUUCUUUUAAUCUUAGGUUGCCAGUUCUUUUGUUUUAACAAAUACUACCAGACUAAUCAUUUUUUAUUAGCUGCAACACCAGCAGUGUGAAAUAGACUUGGCAGCAAACCAGGACCAAACAUAAAAAGAAAUGUAUGCAAGUAAAUUCCUGCAUUAAUGCAGUGCUGUUUUUGUGCUACACUCUAUGCUCCUUAACAUUAACUGUGAGUCCUCACCUAAGAGUCUGCAUUACUCGUAGACUAAUAGACUACGAGGAUAAGAAUCAGUUGAAACAACGUCCUCAUAUGUGAAUUCUUAACUGGAUUUCUGAACAUACUGUGCCCUGCAGCAGAUUAUGUGUUCAGCGACUGACCACGGGGAACUAGCUAGCAGAAAAGGGAGCCACCUUUGUGACAUUGGAAAAAAAAACAAAAAAAAACCAUAAAAUCUAUCUUCAGGCUCAACAGACCUCACUAACCCAUUAAUCUCGUUUCAUAGUAUACCCCUCAGGUCCUCUUCCAAAGAACUCACCUGGGGUCUCAUCAUUUCACACAGGGUCUAAAGUCCUUCGCUGUUGUUAACCUCAAUAAAUAUUCUUAUGCACCCGCUAUGUCAUGGGUCAGGCGAUGCCUCAAGUUUUCCUCCCCUCUUUCUCCAUCCUUCCCAACUCCCUGCCUCCUCUGUUUCCUGUGUUUGUCUCACUCGCUUCCUGUUUGUUUUCAUGUGUCUUCAGGCGUAGCAAACUGCUUCUCUUCUCUAUUGCAUCAGCCAGUUCACCUGCUCCUGACUGCCGCUGCCAAGUCCCCUACUCCUCAUCACCCCAUCAGCAUGCUGUAUUUAAACCCCCUCUUCUCAGUUACUCAUUGCUGGAUCAUUUAGCCUACUUGUGUGGUUCGCUCUCAUGCCGCCUGCCUGCUUUUCUGACUCGACCGGGCUCUCCUCAUCAUCCUAACCAGCUGUCUCUGUUUGCACUCUGCUCUGUCUGCUUCUAUCCUCUCAGCCACACUUCCACGAAAAAACCCGCAUGGUUUACAAUCUUGUGCUGCAACUACCGCCUCACUUACCUGCAACCUCUUCAUUAUUAUGCAAUAAACUUUUUUUAUUUUGUUUCAAGAGUGUUAUUAAGGUCUGAAUGCUCACUGGUCAUGAAAAUACUGAUCUUGC
Molecule: long non-coding RNA, 1291 nt
Organism: Astatotilapia calliptera (eastern happy)
Lineage: Eukaryota; Metazoa; Chordata; Actinopteri; Cichliformes; Cichlidae
Source: Ensembl